AUAAAUGAAAUUAUUUUAAAUAAUAUUAAGAUUUGUAGCUAUAUUAAUGUAUUGGCAGACACAUCUAUAGUACAAAUUUAAUUGUGAACGUUAUUGUUAUGUUAUUUUUAAAGUUUUAAAUGACAAAGAACGGAUGUUACCUCGUUGUUUAUUAAGAGGUUCACAGAGACGACUAUAGGCUAUACAGUUCUAGUUAAUGUCAAAGCAGCAGCUUCAAUUCAAUUAAUUGACAUAAAAAUAUGCAAUAAUAUACGGGAGGAACUUGAGAAGGAUUUUACAAAGAAUGUAUUCUUCACAAUCAAAUUCAAAGUUACCCAUCAUCCUUGGGUACUGGGACUGUAUAGGAAUCGGUCAAAAAGUUACUAGAUUAUUAGUAGGAGAUGAAGUUUGAUGGUUGACUGUAGAAGAAAACCAAAUAAUGCUGGAUUUGAAAGGGCUUGCAAUCUUGAGUUUCAGCAACGAUUUUCGUGAAAAUCCAAUUUUCUUGUUUGAUUCCUAAUGAAAGUGUUUUUGUAGCACCUGUCA
Diorhabda carinulata is the source of this 525-nucleotide long non-coding RNA. RefSeq lists it as uncharacterized. The record is from RefSeq and is a predicted model, not a curated record. NCBI's taxonomy places the organism in Eukaryota, Metazoa, Arthropoda, Insecta, Coleoptera, Chrysomelidae. The transcript is spliced from 3 exons.